GACGAACGCUGGCGGCGUGCUUAACACAUGCAAGUCGAACGGAAAGGCCCUGCUUUUGUGGGGUGCUCGAGUGGCGAACGGGUGAGUAACACGUGAGUAACCUGCCCUUGACUUUGGGAUAACUUCAGGAAACUGGGGCUAAUACCGGAUAGGAGCUCCUGCUGCAUGGUGGGGGUUGGAAAGUUUCGGCGGUUGGGGAUGGACGCGCGGCUUAUCAGCUUGUUGGUGGGGUAGUGGCUUACCAAGGCUUUGACGGGUAGCCGGCCUGAGAGGGUGACCGGGGACAUUGGGACUGAGGGAGGGACCAGACGGCAACGGGGGACAGCAGUGGGGAGUAUGGUACAGUGGUCUGGCGCCUGAGAAGGCGACGCCGCGUGUGGGAAGACGGCCUUGGGGUGGUGAACCGCAUUCACCUGUUACGAUGCGUGUGUGACGGUAAUGGGUAAAUAAGCACCGGCUAACUACGUG
Molecule: ribosomal RNA, 468 nt
Filed under: uncultured bacterium
Lineage: Bacteria
Description: partial 16S ribosomal RNA
Rfam family: Bacterial small subunit ribosomal RNA
Source: RNAcentral